Long non-coding RNA from Galeopterus variegatus (Sunda flying lemur), 515 nucleotides. RefSeq lists it as uncharacterized. The record is from RefSeq and is a predicted model, not a curated record. Lineage: Eukaryota; Metazoa; Chordata; Mammalia; Dermoptera; Cynocephalidae. The transcript is spliced from 3 exons.
UAACACUGCACUCUAAUCAACUGAGCUAACUGACCAGCCCUUAUUGUGUUUAAAUUAAGAAUAUGCAGGGUCAAGUGAUUGCACAUAAAGAAGUUAUGUCAUAGGAGGGAAAAUAACACCCAAUGUUCUCUCAGAGAAAGUAAGCUGAACAUGUACAGAGACAUGGUUCCUGCCCUCCAGAUGAUCUCAGACACCACAGGAACCUGAAAAUCCUCCACCUGUGGAACCAAAGGAUUGGAUUCAGGCCCAACCAAUCAAUCCUUGUCUGCAUCAUAUGGCCUGACUCAGGUCUAACCAAUCAGCUCUUGACUCAGCCAAUCAGCCCUUGCCUGAGUCAUAUGGUGUGAUUCUGCUCUAGCCAAUUACGCUGUGCCUAGUCAUAUGGUUGAACAGGAGCCAGCCAAUACCCAGUCUCCAGUCCUUACUGAUCCUUUAAAAACCGGUUCUCCUCUGGUUCAAGGAGACAGAUUCAAGCAUUGCCUACUAUCUCCUUGCCAGUUGACCUUGCAAUAAAG